Molecule: transfer RNA, 85 nt
Filed under: Marinobacter sp.
Lineage: Bacteria; Pseudomonadati; Pseudomonadota; Gammaproteobacteria; Pseudomonadales; Marinobacteraceae
Also listed under: 14 other names
Description: tRNA-Leu
Rfam family: tRNA
About the family: Transfer RNA (tRNA) molecules are approximately 80 nucleotides in length.
Source: RNAcentral
GCCGAAGUGGUGGAAUUGGUAGACACGCUAUCUUGAGGGGGUAGUGGCGUAAGCCGUGCCGGUUCAAGUCCGGCCUUCGGCACCA